This 143-nucleotide non-coding RNA is filed under the name human gut metagenome. RNAcentral describes it as "FMN riboswitch (RFN element)". It matches the Rfam family "FMN riboswitch aptamer (RFN element)". Rfam says of the family: The RFN element is a highly conserved domain that is found frequently in the 5'-untranslated regions of prokaryotic mRNAs that encode for flavin mononucleotide (FMN) biosynthesis and transport proteins. This element is a metabolite-dependent riboswitch that directly binds FMN in the absence of proteins. In Bacillus subtilis, the riboswitch most likely controls gene expression by causing premature transcription termination within the 5' untranslated region of the ribDEAHT operon and precluding access to the ribosome-binding site of ypaA mRNA. The record is from RNAcentral.
AUCUUCGGGGCGGGGUGUAAUUCCCCACCGGCGGUAUUCAGGCUGUCAGGAACAAAAGACAGCAGGUAAGUCCGCGACCCGCGUAAAGCGGCUGAACCGGUGUGAUUCCGGUACCGACAGUUAUAGUCUGGAUGGGAGAGGAA